GGUUCGGUAGCUUACUUGGUAAAGCACUCGUUUAGCAUACAAGAGUCCUGGGUUCAAAUCCCAGCCAAGCAC
Aedes aegypti (yellow fever mosquito) is the source of this 72-nucleotide non-coding RNA. The record is from Rfam. Lineage: Eukaryota; Metazoa; Arthropoda; Insecta; Diptera; Culicidae.